Molecule: long non-coding RNA, 1490 nt
Organism: Myotis daubentonii (Daubenton's bat)
Lineage: Eukaryota; Metazoa; Chordata; Mammalia; Chiroptera; Vespertilionidae
Source: RefSeq, a predicted model, not a curated record
UCUCGCAGUCCAGAACUCCUCAGGGGAUGUCCACCUGCUGGCUUAGGCCCACUCCCUGGGAGAUCGGGCCUAAGCUGGCAGUCAGACAUCCCUCUGGCAGCCUGGGAGCCUUCAGGGGAUGUCCACCUGCCAGUUUAAGGCCUAAGCCAGCAGUCAGACAUCCUUAGCGCUGCCAAGGAGGCAGGAGAGGCUCCCGCCACCUUCCACUGUGCUUGCACCUGUCAGCCCAGCUUGUGGCUGAGUGGAGCUCCCCCUGUGGGAGCACACUGACCACCAGGGGGCAACUCCUGUGUUGAGUGUCAUAGCGACCAGUCGUUUUGCCAUUAGGGUCAAUUUACAUAUUGCCCUUUUAUUAUAUAGGAUGGGAAAAGAUCAUGAGAUAUAUUUGGAGAAAUCAUAGAGCACACUGUACUUAAUUAGGUGUGACAGGAGGUGCCCAUGUAGUCCCCUCAAGUAAUCAUUGCCUUUUGUGUAUGCUUGGCUAGAUAACACUGGGAUCAAGACUCAGGUAUUGUUUAGGUUCGAUUCAAACACAUUGCCAGACGGAGAUGAUGGAUGCAGCAACCCUCAUGGUCCUGAACUAGAGCCACCAGCUCCAUGAUGCGAAUGGUUUCUUAAAAAGAUAUGACUUACUGCCUGUUCCAAUUCAUCUUGUCAAAAUGGUCAACAGUUUCAUUCUGGUUAUACCUAGCAGCACGAUUGGACUCUGUCUUCUGGGGUCCUUUUCUUUAAAUGGUGACUCCCAAAGAGCAAGACACUCAGAAUCUGCCACUCGCUUACCUACCGUAUCGGCUCAGUUUCCACUCCCUAAAUGAGCCUGCCCUUUACUGCCUCGGUGCCUCUCAUUACUCCUCAGUGUGGUGGGAACAGAGAUGAUCUGGAGGUAGAUCUGGGUUUGAGACCUAGAUUCACCUCUUGUCUGUAUCUUUGAACAAAUUUCCUAGGCUGGUUAAAGGUUUUUGAGAAUAAUAAUACCUGCCCUUCCCAGUGUGGUUUGUUAUAAGGUGUAGAUGAGAAUUUGUGCUAAAGUACUUAGCACGGUAGCUGUCACAUGUAGGAAGAAGAGCCAAAUGGAGGUGAAGGUAUCAACUCUACUCAUGGCUGCCCAGUGGUUCCUCAAGUACAGUCUAGAGAUGUAAGUCUAGGAGUGCUCCAUCCACUGAGUGAAAUCUAAAUCCGUCAGGCCUAUAUAGAAUAAGAAGAGAGGAAGCUAAGGAUGAAAUCCUGAGGAUUGUAGUUCUUAAAAGGGUCCUCAUGAAGACUGACAAGGAGCACAGAGUUGCAGGAGGUUAUGGUGUCACAAAAUCCAAAGGAUUUGGGAGCAGCAUUUAGGAAAAGAAGGAGUGCCCACCUGCCUCAAAUGCUGCCAAGAAAUCAGUGAAGGUGUGAGCCGCAACCACAAACGCAUCCAUGGGAUUUUACAACAAAAGAAGUCUUAAAAAAAAACAACAACACAAAACUUGCUGUUCUCCCAUCCCAACCUCCCUAGA